CGGCGACGGGUGAGUAACGCGUAGGAAUCUACCCGGUAUGGGGGACAACAGUCGGAAACGACUGCUAAUACCGCAUACGCCCUAAGGGGGAAAGCAGGGGAUCUUCGGACCUUGCGCUAUCGGAUGAGCCUGCGUCGGAUUAGCUUGUUGGUGGGGUAAUGGCCUACCAAGGCGACGAUCCGUAGCUGGUCUGAGAGGAUGAUCAGCCACACUGGGACUGAGACACGGCCCAG
RNAcentral lists this ribosomal RNA (233 nucleotides) under uncultured bacterium. RNAcentral describes it as "partial 16S ribosomal RNA". It matches the Rfam family "Bacterial small subunit ribosomal RNA", at positions 102 to 334 of the family's 1533-position model. The record is from RNAcentral.